AGGCUGCCCUGGCUCAGUUAUCACAGUGCUGAUGCUGUCCGUUCUAAAGGUACAGUACUGUGAUAACUGAAGGAUGGCAGCCA
Molecule: microRNA precursor, 83 nt
Organism: Procavia capensis (Cape rock hyrax)
Lineage: Eukaryota; Metazoa; Chordata; Mammalia; Hyracoidea; Procaviidae
Source: Ensembl